AUGGCCAAGCUUACGAACAAUAUCAUCGCGAGGGCAGUGUUCGGUGGCAAGUGCCAGCAGCAAGAAAAGUACCUCCAUGAGCUCGAUAGGAUGAUGGUGCUUGUGGGAGGGUUCAGCCUCGUUCACCUUUUCCCGUCAUCGCGGUUGGUACGGUGGUUGAGCGGCGCCGCGCGCGACCUGAGGAGGAGCCACGCCCGGGCACAGCAAAUCCUGAGGGACAUCAUCGAGAUGAAAGAAAGUGCCUCCGCAAGCGCCGGCACUCGAGACAACGAGGACCUGCUAGACGUGCUCCUUAGGCUGCAGAAGGAAGACACCCUCCGUUUCCCACUCACGUCUGACAUUAUAGGCGCAGUCAUCUUCGAUAUAUUUGCAGCUGCAACUGACACCACUGCCACCACGCUAGAAUGGGCCAUGGCAGAAUUAAUCCGCAACCCAGAGUUGAUGACAAGGGCGAAACACGAAGUUCGACAGGGUCUAGCACAAGGGCUAUCCACGGUAACGAGCGCAGACCUCGGCAAUCUGCACUACCUUCGAAUGGUGAUCAAGGAAACACUAAGGCUACACCCGCCCGCCGCGGUGAUGCGCAGGGCAGCCCGAGAUAGGUGCCAGGUAAUGGGCUACAACAUACCCAAAGACAUCCAUGUGAUGAUAAACUUAUUCGCAGUGGGGAGGGACCCGAGGCACUGGGGGGAGGACGCCGCGGAGUUCAGGCCCGAGAGGUUCGAGAGAAGCGACGCCAUGAACCCCGGGGCGCAGAUGGAGUUCAUCCCGUUUGGGUUUGGCCGUAGGCAGUGCCCCGGAGCCCUGAUGGCGACAACGACGCUUGAGCUCGUGCUAGCCAAUCUCCUGUACCAAUUUGACUGGGCGAUUCCGGGUGGGGCAAGCCCGGAGACGCUGGACAUGGGCGAGGUAUUUGGGUUAACUGUGCAUCGCAGCUCCAACCUGUGUCUACAGGCAGCAACUCGCCGUCCACAGCAACACUAG
Molecule: ribosomal RNA, 984 nt
Filed under: Triticum aestivum (bread wheat)
Lineage: Eukaryota; Viridiplantae; Streptophyta; Magnoliopsida; Poales; Poaceae
Description: partial small subunit ribosomal RNA
Source: RNAcentral